UACGUGAAACCGUUCAGGGGUAAACCUGUGAAAUCCAAAAGGUCGAAAGAGGAGAUUCAUUCGUGUAUCGAUCGCCGAAGUCGUACGGGGUAAUUGUGCGACAAACAUCGAUUUAUCGUAGUUUGCGCCACCUGUACGAAUUUAUCGGUAUCGAACGCGUGCACUUCUCCUCUAGUAGAACGUCGCGAUCCGUUGAGUGUCGGUCUACGGACCGAAGCGUAGCCCGAAAACGACGGUUUACCGUUGUUUUCGGACGCUCGUUAUCCGACCGACUCGCUCGACGGUAUGCCAAAGAUACUAGGUCGCAAAUUUAAUUUGCGUUCGAUUUUCGACAAGCUCGUAUAACGUAUCGAUGAUCGGACUUAUGCGCCGGUCGCGACGUUGUGCGGCUGUUAGUCGUAAUAUUCUCGAACAGACCUAGUCGAAAUAUCGAUCGGCGACGCUAUAGCUUUGGAUAAUUACAGGACCCGUCUUGAAACACGGACCAAGGAGUCUAGCAUGUGCGCGAGUCAUUGGGAUUUAUUACUAAACCUAAAGGCGAAAUGAAAGUAAAAAUUCGUUUUAAGCGAAUUUAGGGAAGAUAAAUGGAAACGUUUUGCGACGUUCCGUUUCGCAUUCCCGGGGCGUUUCGUUCUCAUUGCGAGAUGAGGCGCACCAAUAGCGUACACGCUGGGACCCGAAAGAUGGUGAACUAUGCCUGGUCAGGACGAAGUCAGGGGAAACCCUGAUGGAGGUCCGUAGCGAUUCUGACGUGCAAAUCGAUCGUCGGAACUGGGUAUAGGGGCGAAAGACUAAUCGAACCUC
Molecule: ribosomal RNA, 804 nt
Filed under: Coleoptera sp. NZAC 03012319
Lineage: Eukaryota; Metazoa; Arthropoda; Insecta; Coleoptera
Description: eukaryotic LSU rRNA
Rfam family: Eukaryotic large subunit ribosomal RNA
Source: RNAcentral